This 253-nucleotide ribosomal RNA is filed under the name uncultured bacterium. Its description in RNAcentral is "partial 16S ribosomal RNA". It matches the Rfam family "Bacterial small subunit ribosomal RNA", at positions 524 to 776 of the family's 1533-position model. The record is from RNAcentral.
UACGGGGGGAGCAAGCGUUGUUCGGAUUUACGGGGCGUAAAGGGCGCGUAGGCGGCGUGACAAGUCACUUGUGAAAUCUCCGGGCUUAACCCGGAGCGGCCAAGUGAUACUGUCGUGCUAGAGUGCGGAAGGGGCUACUGGAAUUCUCGGUGUAGCGGUGAAAUGCGUAGAUAUCGAGAGGAACACCUGCGGCGAAGGCGGGUAGCUGGGCCGACACUGACGCUGAUGCGCGAAAGCCAGGGGAGCGAACGGG